GGCUGGUCCGAACAUAGUGAGUUCUCUCAACUGAUUGUUUACAGUCAAUUGCAAAUGGAAAUGCUUGUUCUAUUUCUUUCCCUCUUCUUACUACUGCACUUGACUAGCCUAAA
Unclassified non-coding RNA from Cercocebus atys (sooty mangabey), 113 nucleotides. It matches the Rfam family "Y RNA". From Rfam's summary of the family: Y RNAs are components of the Ro ribonucleoprotein particle (Ro RNP), in association with Ro60 and La proteins. NCBI's taxonomy places the organism in Eukaryota, Metazoa, Chordata, Mammalia, Primates, Cercopithecidae. The record is from Ensembl.